Molecule: small RNA, 77 nt
Filed under: Xanthomonas sp. 3058
Lineage: Bacteria; Pseudomonadati; Pseudomonadota; Gammaproteobacteria; Lysobacterales; Lysobacteraceae
Description: sRNA sX9
Rfam family: Xanthomonas sRNA sX9
Source: RNAcentral
AUGUGCCCCUGGUGCACUCCGAUUCCGGGCGUGCCGUCCGCCCCCACCUGACGACUGCUCGCUACGUUUUGUUGGCC